ACGUACUGUGCGAACGUUAUUCGGAAUCACUGGGCUUAAAGGGUGCGUAGGCGGCAAUCUAAGUCAGAUGUGAAAUGCCUGAGCUCAACUGAGGCAUUGCGUUUGAAACUGGGUUGCUGGAGUGUUCCAGGGGUGUGCGGAACUGCCAGUGGAGCGGUGAAAUGUGUUGAUAUUGGCAGGAACACCGGAGGCGAAAGCGGCACACUGGGGGAUAACUGACGCUGAGGCACGAAAGCCAGGGGAGCGAACGGGA
This 253-nucleotide ribosomal RNA is filed under the name uncultured prokaryote. Its description in RNAcentral is "partial 16S ribosomal RNA". It matches the Rfam family "Bacterial small subunit ribosomal RNA", at positions 525 to 777 of the family's 1533-position model. The record is from RNAcentral.